UUGGAUGUUACUCAUUGUGUAACUUUGACAUCUGGCCUCAAAUCAAGUAGGACUACCCGCUGAACUUAAGCAUAUCAAUAAGCGGAGGAAAAGAAACUAACAAGGAUUCCCCUAGUAACGGCGAGUGAAGCGGGAAGAGCUCAAAUUUGAAAUCUGGUGGCCUCAGGUCAUCCGAGUUGUAAUCUAUAGAAGUGUUUUCCGUGCUGGCUCAUGUACAAGUCCCUUGGAACAGGGCGUCAUAGAGGGUGAGAAUCCCGUCCUUGACAUGAACUACCAGUGCUCUGUGAUACAUUUUCAACGAGUCGAGUUGUUUGGGAAUGCAGCUCAAAAUGGGUGGUAAAUUCCAUCUAAAGCUAAAUAUUGGCGAGAGACCGAUAGCGAACAAGUACCGUGAGGGAAAGAUGAAAAGCACUUUGGAAAGAGAGUUAAACAGUAUGUGAAAUUGUUGAAAGGGAAACGAUUGAAGUCAGUCGUGCUCUUUGGAUUCAGCCGGUUCUGCCGGUGUACUUCCUUUGAGUGGGGUCAACAUCAGUUUUGAUCGCUGGAUAAAGGCUGGAGGAACGUAGUACCCUCGGGUAAACUUAUAGCCUCCUGUCACAUACAGUGGUUGGGACUGAGGAACGCAGCACGCCUUUAUGGCCGGGAUUCGUCCACGUACGUGCUUAGGAUGUUGACAUAAUGGC
RNAcentral lists this ribosomal RNA (683 nucleotides) under Filobasidium magnum. RNAcentral describes it as "LSU rRNA". It matches the Rfam family "Eukaryotic large subunit ribosomal RNA", at positions 1 to 638 of the family's 3401-position model. The record is from RNAcentral. Lineage: Eukaryota; Fungi; Basidiomycota; Tremellomycetes; Filobasidiales; Filobasidiaceae.